CCUACGGGCGGCAGCAGUAGGGAAUCUUUCACAAUGGGCGAAAGCCUGAUGGAGCAACGCCGCGUGCAGGAUGAAGGCCUUCGGGUUGUAAACUGCUUUUAUAAGCGAGAAAUAUGAUGGUAACUUAUGAAUAAGGAUCGGCUAACUACGUGCCAGCAGCCGCGGUCAUACGUAGGAUCCGAGCAUUAUCCGGAGUGACUGGGUGUAAAGAGUUGCGUAGGUGGCAUAAUAAGUAGCUAGUGAAAUCUGGUGGCUCAACCAUUCAGACUAUUAGCUAAACUGUUAAGCUCGAGACCGUUAGGGGUAACUGGAAUUUCUAGUAUAGGAGUGAAAUCCGUAGAUAUUAGAAGGAACACCAAUAGCGUAGGCAGGUUGCUGGGACGGUUCUGACACUAAGGCACGAAAGCGUAGGGAGCAAACGGGAUUAGAUACCCCUGUAGUC
This 442-nucleotide ribosomal RNA is filed under the name uncultured bacterium. RNAcentral describes it as "partial 16S ribosomal RNA". It matches the Rfam family "Bacterial small subunit ribosomal RNA", at positions 338 to 795 of the family's 1533-position model. The record is from RNAcentral.